Molecule: long non-coding RNA, 763 nt
Organism: Ochotona curzoniae (black-lipped pika)
Lineage: Eukaryota; Metazoa; Chordata; Mammalia; Lagomorpha; Ochotonidae
Exons: 4
Source: RefSeq, a predicted model, not a curated record
GGGCGGGGCUGCGGGACGCUCAGGGCAGAAGAGGCACUUCCUGUGCCCCCCACCCCACCAGGCCUUCUAGAACAUUCCAGGCCAACGGAGGCGCCAGGCAGCCUGAGUGCGUGCGUCUUUCGGGUUCAGCUCCUGCAGGAAACCAUGAUCCUGCUUGCCCUACUGCUCGUCGUGGGGCUCCCUCUGGUGGAGAGCAAUGGCACUGCCGUUAGUGAGCAACGUUGGACCUAUAAUGUGACCUGUUCUGAAUGUUGGAGCAUCAAUACAUUCCACUGUCCUAGAAGGAAAACCUGCCUCUAUGAUAUUAGGCGCUGCAUGACACUGUCUGUGCGCUUGAACGCUCGUGAAAUGCUGGUUAUCAAAAACUGUACAUACAACUGCUCAUUUGUAUAUCCAGUUCAACAGCCUCCAGAAGCACCUAAAAAGAUUGUAACAAAUUCUUUCUAUUAUAUUCGAUGUUGCGGUAGCAUGUCCUGCAAUGAAGGAGGCCCGACCAACCUAGAAAGGGACAUUCUGCCUGAAAUACCUACCGAAGAGCCUCUGCCAGCCCACGCUGUGAAUACCCAGUCUUCAAAGGUUUUCCUCAGUUUCUUGUACAUCAUAGUCAGACGCAUCCUGACUGAACCACCCUUAUGUGGGGAGUCCAGUCAUCUCUCUCGUUCAUAGCAUCACCCUUGUGUGAGCCAGAGCCAUUGACCCACUGGGUUCAGUUGGUACAUUUCUGUUUUAUGCCAAGAUGAAAUAAGAAAAAGCAUUGUUUGCU